UCGUGUUAUUCAUCUGUUACUAGCUAAAGCUACAAUGGUGUCCAUUUGGGGAUCCUUCAGAAACCUUCUUAUUCGCGAGGUGAAAAUUAGGGUUAGCCGUUAUCUUCACAAUGAACGAGCUUGAGCAACAAUGGUGAUCUAAUCGAGUCAGACGCAUCGUCGUUUCGUAUUUGGUCUUUAACCCCCAGACGUUACGACUCUCUUCUUUCAUCAGCUUUAAGAGAUGUCUUAACUCCACCGACGCAAUCAAGCACGACGUCUCAUUCAAUCAUACUCAUUCAACUCCAAGACCGUUUUCUGUACUUAUAAAAAAGGUGUUGAUGCUCCAAUUCUGGGAGGCCGGAAAAGCACAACGCGGUGACGAGUUAAUGGGAGUUGAUAUGCUCCUCUUCGAUGUGAAGUCAACCCUCAUGCCAGCCACCGUGAACGUUCACCGGCUAGCCAAUUUCAAGGAUCGUCUCCAGGCUGCGGAUUUGAUAUCACUCGGUGCAACCAGAACUUCAGGCUUUCAGACUCACUUAUGACAAUACUGUUCAGUGAUUCAACCAAUCUAGAUGUGCUAACCGAACCAUAUUCACCCAUUCCUGUAAAACGUUUCAGGUUCCGUGAUUAGCCAACACCAACACCU
Long non-coding RNA from Brassica oleracea var. oleracea, 628 nucleotides. RefSeq lists it as uncharacterized. The record is from RefSeq and is a predicted model, not a curated record. The transcript has 3 exons. NCBI's taxonomy places the organism in Eukaryota, Viridiplantae, Streptophyta, Magnoliopsida, Brassicales, Brassicaceae.